CGACGAAAGUCGCGUCGGGGUUGCGGGUCCGCGGUAGGACCUCGGAUUGCUAACGGAACUGCCUGGAAAGGCAGACCAAAGAGCGUGAUAGUCGCGUACGUGAAAGCGAACUGAGGCCGAGCGGGGUACCCAAGUAGGACGGGACACGUGCAAUCCUGUCUGAAUCUGCCAGGACCAUCUGGUAAGGCUAAAUACUACUCAGCGACCGAUAGUGAACAAGUACCGCGAGGGAAAGGUGAAAAGAACCCCAGUGAGGGGAGUCAAAAGAACCUGAAACCGCAUGUCUACAAGCAGUUCGAGAGCAACGCGCAAGCAAGCUCGAGAGCGUACCUUUUGCAUCAUGAUUCGGCGACUUAAUAUACGUCGCGAGGCUAAGCCGAUAGGUGGAGCCGGAGCGAAAGCGAGUCCGAAACGGGCGAUAGUGGCGUGUAUUAUAACCCGAAGCGGGAUGAUCUACGCAUGGCCAGGUUGAAGUGCGGGUAACACCGCAUGGAGGACCGAACGCAUGAGAGUUGAAAAUCUCUGCGAUGAGCUGUGCGUAGGGGUGAAAGGCCAAUCAAAUUCCGUGAUAGCUGGUUCUCCCCGAAAGAUAUUUAGGUAUCGGCUCGGGUAAUUCACUGUUGGAGGUAGAGCACUGGAACGGCUAGGGGUCUCACCAGAUUACCAAACCGUACCAAACUCCGAAUGCCAACAAGUGUUAUCCCGGGACGCAGUCGGUGGGUGAUAACGUCCAUCGGCAAGAGGGGAAUAACCCAGACCGUCAGCUAAGGUCCCCAAAUUCAGGCUAAGUGAACACUAGAAAGGAUGUGGCGGGUCAUUGACAACCAGGAAGUUGGCUUAGAAGCAGCCAUCUUUUAAAGAAAGCGUAAUAGCUCACUGGUCUAAAUAUUAAGACUUCCGGCGCCGAAGAUGUAACGGGGCUAAAACGAUUUACCGAAGCUUAGGAUGCACACUUCGGUGUGCGUGGUAGCGGAGCAUUCUGUAAGCCUGCGAAGGUGUACCGUGAGGUAUGCUGGAGGUAUCAGAAGCGAGAAUGCGGACAUGAGUAACGAGAAGAGUGUGAGAAACACUCUCGCCGAAAUUCCAAGGGUUCCUGCGUAAAGUUAAUCUACGCAGGGUGAGCCGGUCCCUAAGGCGAGGCCGAAAGGCGUAGUCGAUGGGAACCACGUUAAUAUUCGUGGGCCAGUGGAUGGUGACGCGUGGAGUAUGUUGUUCGGGAUUACUGGAUUUCCCGGGCUUCGAAUCUGCGCCAGGAAAUAGCCUCCACAUUAGACCGUACCCGAAACCGACACAGGUGGACUGGUAGAGUAUACCAAGGCGCUUGAGAGAAUGACGUUGAAGGAACUCGGCAAUUUACCUCCGUAACUUCGGGAUAAGGAGGCCUUCGGUUCGCGCAAGCGGGCUGGAGGGGCACAGACCAGGGGGUGGCAACUGUUUAACAAAAACACAGGGCUCUGCGAAAUCGCAAGAUGACGUAUAGGGUCUGACGCCUGCCCGGUGCCGGAAGGUUAAGAGGAGGAGUGCAAGCUCUGAAUUGAAGCCCCGGUAAACGGCGGCCGUAACUAUAACGGUCCUAAGGUAGCGAAAUUCCUUGUCGGGUAAGUUCCGACCUGCACGAAUGGCGUAAUGACUUCCCCGCUGUCUCCAACGUCAGCUCAGUGAAAUUGAAUUCCCCGUGAAGAUGCGGGGUUCCUGCGGUCAGACGGAAA
This 1709-nucleotide ribosomal RNA is filed under the name activated sludge metagenome. Its description in RNAcentral is "bacterial LSU rRNA". It matches the Rfam family "Bacterial large subunit ribosomal RNA", at positions 275 to 2086 of the family's 2925-position model. The record is from RNAcentral.